GAUGAACGCUGGCGGCGUGCCUAAUACAUGCAAGUCGAGCGAACAGACGAGGAGCUUGCUCCUUUGACGUUAGCGGCGGACGGGUGAGUAACACGUGGAUAACCUACCUAUAAGACUGGGAUAACUUCGGGAAACCGGAGCUAAUACCGGAUAACAUGUUGAACCGCAUGGUUCAACAGUGAAAGACGGUCUUGCUGUCACUUAUAGAUGGAUCCGCGCCGCAUUAGCUAGUUGGUAAGGUAACGGCUUACCAAGGCAACGAUGCGUAGCCGACCUGAUAGGGUGAUCGGCCACACUGGAACUGAGACACGGUCCAGACUCCUACGGGAGGCAGCAGUAGGGAAUCUUCCGCAAUGGGCGAAAGCCUGACGGAGCAACGCCGCGUGAGUGAAGAAGGUCUUCGGAUCGUAAAACUCUGUUAUUAGGGAAGAACAAAUGUGUAAGUAACUAUGCACGUCUUGACGGUACCUAAUCAGAAAGCCACGGCUAACUACGUG
Molecule: ribosomal RNA, 497 nt
Filed under: uncultured bacterium
Lineage: Bacteria
Description: partial 16S ribosomal RNA
Rfam family: Bacterial small subunit ribosomal RNA
Source: RNAcentral